CCGGGCUCUGCCUAGCAGGGUAAAGCUUGGUGAAACGAACUUUGAAGCCUCAGAAGAAAGACCUAGGCAGAUUUGCUGAAGCCUCAAUUCUUCYUAACAGUCUGAGGAUAGCUAGCAACCUACAAGCAGAAACAAAUGCGAAGACCACCUGAUCUUAACAAGCCUUCUCCCUCUGCCAUGGGUAACAGAAGUGGUACAAGA
Molecule: long non-coding RNA, 201 nt
Organism: Dromaius novaehollandiae (emu)
Lineage: Eukaryota; Metazoa; Chordata; Aves; Casuariiformes; Dromaiidae
Source: Ensembl